AAGGCUACGGCUCAACCGUAGUAAGCUCUUGAAACUGGGAGACUUGAGUGCAGGAGAGGAGAGUGGAAUUCCUAGUGUAGCGGUGAAAUGCGUAGAUAUUAGGAGGAACACCAGUUGCGAAGGCGGCUCUCUGGACUGUAACUGACGCUGAGGCACGAAAGCGUGGGGAGCAAACAGGAUUAGAUACCCUGGUAGUCCACGCUGUAAACGAUGAGUACUAGGUGUCGGGGGUUACCCCC
Molecule: ribosomal RNA, 239 nt
Filed under: Clostridioides difficile
Lineage: Bacteria; Bacillati; Bacillota; Clostridia; Peptostreptococcales; Peptostreptococcaceae
Description: partial 16S ribosomal RNA
Rfam family: Bacterial small subunit ribosomal RNA
Source: RNAcentral